GCCUCCCAAAGUGCUGGAAUUACAGGCAUGUCUCACUUCUCCAAAAAAGUGCACGGUGGAGUGAGGGAGGACACAGAGCACUCAGGAGGGGCAGCAUCCCUGAGCCUUGGCCCCCUCAUCAGUGAGGGAAGUCAGGGGCUAAGACAGGGUCAUUCUCCAGCUGCCGAUAAGGGCUGUCCAGACUCCAAUGUGACCGUGCCAUUCCCGGAUGAUUUAGUCCACAUCUCAUACUGAAGCAGGAAAGGCGGUGAAACAGACCUCUCGAACAGCGAACUAGGAAGGAAGGGGUGAUUUAUUCGACCAGGAGCAAGGCAGCAUAGUUGCCUAACAGCCCAGCUCCAGCUCACAGAGAAAGUCCUUGCCCUUUUAAAGGCUUAACAGCUCUAGAAUUUACCUGUGAAAGGGUGUUGGGCAUGGAGUAGGCAUGGGGUAUAAUGGCUUAGGUGGGGGUUUGAUCUUGUUUAAGUAAAAACAAUGCCUUCUGGAAAGAUUCCUCCACACCAUGCCUGUGAUCUAUAGGAGGGUGAUUAAGGUGGCGCCCGGUCUGCCAGCCUUUACUUCUGCUAUUGAAAUGCAGUGUGGAAGUCACGGCGGGGAUGGUCUUAGAAUAGAUGCUUAAGGGUAAUUAAGGGUGUCCUCCCUCAAUACCAGAUUCCUGAGCUCUGGGUGACACAACCCUGUCACCUCCCAGAGUCAUGUUCGGUCAUCUUGGAGAUGACCGUGGUGAGUCUUCCUUCUGCUGCCUGCUCCACCCCCACGCCCCCCACCUCAUCCUCUUCUCCUGGUCUCUGCCUUUCCCUUGAGAUUCAGCUCAGCUGAAACCUUUUCCCAUCAUUCUUCCGGUUGGGUUAGGCGGCCCAUCUGUGCGUUUAUAACCUUAGCAUGCUUUUUAUCGUGCACUUAUUGAAGCAGUGUCAUUUGUCUGGGGUGAUACCUGGGGUUCAUUGUCUCACGCUGAGGAAAUCAAGGACGCAGACACACAAAAGAGUGAGGUUAAGAGUGGAGGUUUAGCCGGGCGCGGUGGCUCA
Saimiri boliviensis boliviensis (Bolivian squirrel monkey) is the source of this 1028-nucleotide non-coding RNA. Lineage: Eukaryota; Metazoa; Chordata; Mammalia; Primates; Cebidae. The record is from RefSeq and is a predicted model, not a curated record.